Phrynosoma platyrhinos (Desert horned lizard) is the source of this 70-nucleotide non-coding RNA. Lineage: Eukaryota; Metazoa; Chordata; Lepidosauria; Squamata; Phrynosomatidae. The record is from the annotation of a GenBank genome assembly.
GCCAGCAUGGUGUAGUGGUUUCAGCAUCGGACUAUGACUCUGGAGAGCAGGUUCAAAUCCCUCAUUGGCC